RNAcentral lists this ribosomal RNA (581 nucleotides) under uncultured bacterium. RNAcentral's name for it is "bacterial SSU rRNA". It matches the Rfam family "Bacterial small subunit ribosomal RNA", at positions 102 to 669 of the family's 1533-position model. The record is from RNAcentral.
ACGGGUGAGUAACACGUGGGCAACCUGCCCUUGAGACUGGGAUAACUUCGGGAAACCGGAGCUAAUACCGGAUAAUAUAAGGAACCUCCUGGUUCCUUGUUGAAAGAUGGUUUCGGCUAUCACUUAAGGAUGGGCCCGCGGCGCAUUAGCUAGUUGGUGAGGUAACGGCUCACCAAGGCGACGAUGCGUAGCCGACCUGAGAGGGUGAUCGGCCACACUGGGACUGAGACACGGCCCAGACUCCUACGGGAGGCAGCAGUAGGGAAUCUUCCACAAUGGACGAAAGUCUGAUGGAGCAACGCCGCGUGAGUGAUGAAGGCCUUCGGGUCGUAAAGCUCUGUUGUUAGGGAAGAACAAGUGCGAGAGUAACUGCUCGCACCUUGACGGUACCUAACCAGAAAGCCACGGCUAACUACGUGCCAGCAGCCGCGGUAAUACGUAGGUGGCAAGCGUUAUCCGGAAUUAUUGGGCGUAAAGCGCGCGCAGGUGGUUUCUUAAGUCUGAUGUGAAAGCCCACGGCUCAACCGUGGAGGGUCAUUGGAAACUGGGGAACUUGAGUGCAGAAGAGGAAAGUGGAAUUC